RNAcentral lists this unclassified non-coding RNA (189 nucleotides) under uncultured Russula. RNAcentral describes it as "sequence contains ITS1". Lineage: Eukaryota; Fungi; Basidiomycota; Agaricomycetes; Russulales; Russulaceae. The record is from RNAcentral.
UUGUAUAACGGGGGUGCAAGGGCUGUCGCUGACCUUCAAAGGUUGUGCACGCCCGAGCACUUUCACACAUCCAUCUCACCCCUUUGUGCACCACCGCGUGGGUCCGCCUUUGCAGGAGGGCUCGCGUUUUCACACAUAAACUUUGAUACAGUGUAGAAUGUUACAUUUUGCGGUCACACGCAAUUAAUA